GAUGAAGAACGUAGCGAAAUGCGAUAAGUAGUGUGAAUUGCAGAAUUCAGUGAAUCAUCGAAUCUUUGAACGCACAUUGCGCCCUUUGGUAUUCCUUAGGGCAUGCCUGUUCGAGCGUCAUUUAAACCUUCAAGCUAGGCUUGGUGUUGGGUGACUGUCCGCUUCACGGCGGACUCGCCUCAAAAUUAUUGGCGGCCGGUACAUUGGCUUCGAGCGCAGCAGAAACGCGAACUCGGGCCCGUCGUAUUGGCUCCCAGAAGCUAUCUUCACAAUUUUGACCUCGGAUCAGGUAGGGAUACCCGCUGAACUUAAGCAUAUCAAUAAGCGGAGGA
This 332-nucleotide unclassified non-coding RNA is filed under the name soil metagenome. Its description in RNAcentral is "partial contains 5.8S ribosomal RNA, internal transcribed spacer 2, and large subunit ribosomal RNA". The stretch from base 1 to 120 matches the Rfam family "5.8S ribosomal RNA", at positions 35 to 154 of the family's 154-position model. The record is from RNAcentral.